This 253-nucleotide ribosomal RNA is filed under the name uncultured bacterium. RNAcentral's name for it is "partial 16S ribosomal RNA". It matches the Rfam family "Bacterial small subunit ribosomal RNA", at positions 524 to 776 of the family's 1533-position model. The record is from RNAcentral.
UACGUAGGGUGCAAGCGUUGGCCGGAAUUAUUGGGCGUAAAGAGCUCGUAGGCGGUUUGUCACGUCGGAUGUGAAAUCCCGGGGCUUAACCUCGGGUCUGCAUUCGAUACGGGCUGACUAGAGUUCGGUAGGGGAGACUGGAAUUCCUGGUGUAGCGGUGAAAUGCGCAGAUAUCAGGAGGAACACCGGUGGCGAAGGCGGGUCUCUGGGCCGAUACUGACGCUGAGGAGCGAAAGCUGGGGGAGCGAACAGG